RNAcentral lists this ribosomal RNA (1346 nucleotides) under uncultured bacterium. RNAcentral's name for it is "bacterial SSU rRNA". It matches the Rfam family "Bacterial small subunit ribosomal RNA", at positions 28 to 1381 of the family's 1533-position model. The record is from RNAcentral.
GACGAACGCUGGCGGCGUGCUUAACACAUGCAAGUCGAACGGAAAGGCCCUGCUUUUGUGGGGUGCUCGAGUGGCGAACGGGUGAGUAACACGUGAGUAACCUGCCCUUGACUUUGGGAUAACUUCAGGAAACUGGGGCUAAUACCGGAUAGGAGCUCCUGCUGCAUGGUGGGGGUUGGAAAGUUUCGGCGGUUGGGGAUGGACUCGCGGCUUAUCAGCUUGUUGGUGGGGUAGUGGCUUACCAAGGCUUUGACGGGUAGCCGGCCUGAGAGGGUGACCGGCCACAUUGGGACUGAGAUACGGCCCAGACUCCUACGGGAGGCAGCAGUGGGGAAUAUUGCACAAUGGGCGGAAGCCUGAUGCAGCAACGCCGCGUGCGGGAUGACGGCCUUCGGGUUGUAAACCGCUUUCGCCUGUGACGAAGCGUGAGUGACGGUAAUGGGUAAAGAAGCACCGGCUAACUACGUGCCAGCAGCCGCGGUGAUACGUAGGGUGCGAGCGUUGUCCGGAUUUAUUGGGCGUAAAGGGCUCGUAGGUGGUUGAUCGCGUCGGAAGUGUAAUCUUGGGGCUUAACCCUGAGCGUGCUUUCGAUACGGGUUGACUUGAGGAAGGUAGGGGAGAAUGGAAUUCCUGGUGGAGCGGUGGAAUGCGCAGAUAUCAGGAGGAACACCAGUGGCGAAGGCGGUUCUCUGGGCCUUUCCUGACGCUGAGGAGCGAAAGCGUGGGGAGCGAACAGGCUUAGAUACCCUGGUAGUCCACGCUGUAAACGGUGGGUACUAGGUGUGGGGUCCAUUCCACGGGUUCCGUGCCGUAGCUAACGCUUUAAGUACCCCGCCUGGGGAGUACGGCCGCAAGGCUAAAACUCAAAGGAAUUGACGGGGCCCCGCACAAGCGGCGGAGCAUGCGGAUUAAUUCGAUGCAACGCGUAGAACCUUACCUGGGUUUGACAUGGAUCGGGAGCGCUCAGAGAUGGGUGUGCCUCUUUUGGGGUCGGUUCACAGGUGGUGCAUGGCUGUCGUCAGCUCGUGUCGUGAGAUGUUGGGUUAAGUCCCGCAACGAGCGCAACCCCUGUUCACUGUUGCCAGCACGUUAUGGUGGGGACUCAGUGGAGACCGCCGGGGUCAACUCGGAGGAAGGUGGGGAUGACGUCAAGUCAUCAUGCCCCUUAUGUCCAGGGCUUCACGCAUGCUACAAUGGCUGGUACAGAGAGUGGCGAGCCUGUGAGGGUGAGCGAAUCUCGGAAAGCCGGUCUCAGUUCGGAUUGGGGUCUGCAACUCGACCUCAUGAAGUCGGAGUCGCUAGUAAUCGCAGAUCAGCAACGCUGCGGUGAAUACGUUCCCGGGGCU